UUGUGGACAGUAAGUGUUGUCCUCGGCUUGCACAGUCACUCACCGCUCCCUCACUGACUCACCCAGAGCCCCUUCAUCCUCCAUUCAUGGACCUUGUAACCUUUAUUUUGCUGCCUGAAGCUGUGGAUCUGUCUUGUGCUUCUCCAGACUAGGUACCUUGUCUGCCUAGACUUUCAGAGCUGCUAGCCUUCAGCUUUGAUUCAACUUCCCCAACGAUGCUAGCCAGCAAAGCAGCUAAGACAAAUUCUCCUGCCUGCUCGUCAUCCUUAACCUUCCUGUUGCAGAUGAAUAUGAUUUCCAUCUUCAAUAUUAAAAUGGCUACACAAAAAUUCACCAAUUUUUCCCCGGAGAACUUCACACGUAGCUCCUGACUGUGUGAAGAGCGUCACAUUGACAGAGUACAUGGUCCUUGACGAGACAAGUAUGUCUUUG
This is a long non-coding RNA of Artibeus jamaicensis (Jamaican fruit-eating bat), 432 nucleotides long. RefSeq lists it as uncharacterized. Lineage: Eukaryota; Metazoa; Chordata; Mammalia; Chiroptera; Phyllostomidae. The transcript is spliced from 4 exons. The record is from RefSeq and is a predicted model, not a curated record.